GACGAACGCUGGCGGCGUGCUUAACACAUGCAGGUCGAACGAAGAGCGAUGGAAGCUUGCUUCUAUCAAUCUUAGUGGCGAACGGGUGAGUAACGCGUAAUCAACCUGCCCUUCAGAGGGGGACAACAGUUGGAAACGACUGCUAAUACCGCAUACGAUCCAAUCUCGGCAUCGGGACUGGAUGAAAGGUGGCCUCUAUUUAUAAGCUAUCACUGAAGGAGGGGAUUGCGUCUGAUUAGCUAGUUGGAGGGGUAACGGCCCACCAAGGCAAUGAUCAGUAGCCGGUCUGAGAGGAUGAACGGCCACAUUGGGACUGAGACACGGCCCAGACUCCUACGGGAGGCAGCAGUGGGGAAUCUUCCGCAAUGGACGAAAGUCUGACGGAGCAACGCCGCGUGAGUGAUGACGGCCUUCGGGUUGUAAAGCUCUGUUAAUCGGGACGAAUGGUUCUUGUGCGAAUAGUGCGAGGAUUUGACGGUACCGGAAGAGAAAGCCACGGCUAACUACGUG
Molecule: ribosomal RNA, 510 nt
Filed under: uncultured bacterium
Lineage: Bacteria
Description: partial 16S ribosomal RNA
Rfam family: Bacterial small subunit ribosomal RNA
Source: RNAcentral